UAGGAUACGAUCAUACAAAGACUGGCAAUUUUGGCAUUUACUUUAGUAAUUGAAAGUCUCUAUAUAUUCGCACAUUCUUUUAUGAAAUCAAAACUAAAGAGGAAAUUAGUAUUACCUCUUGGUUCCUUUGGCUCCCUUCUCGUUUCUUUCAUAAUUUUAUAAUACCUGCUCUUAUUACUUAGGAUCUAUUUUUGUCUACCGUUUCCUUUUAGUGGAAACCACCAUGUGAACAUUCUAUUCCAUUUUGUUAAUUUUUUUGUUAUUUUGUAUGUGUAUGUGUGUCUGGUGUGUGUUUUUCAUUUGUAUAUUUCCUAGAUUGUUAUCGUUAAUCUCUCCUCACCAUUUAAUUUCUUUUGUACUUACAAUGUUAAAUAACUGUCUUAGGUUCUUGGAUCUUAAAUUGCAUUAGUUUAACAUGGGUGAAUAUUUUAGUAGAUGGCAAGGCUACGGCAGCAGAGAAGAAAAAUUCCAAGGAUGAAACAUCUUUGAAAGAUUCGCACGAAGGACAAAAACCUGCUUCUGAAUCUUUUGUUUGUUUAGAUGACAAGGCUGCUGUAGCAGAGAAUAAAAACUCCAAGGAUGAAACAUCUUCGAAAGAUUCACAGGGAGGAUAAAGAGCUACUUCUGGAUAUGCACCUAGGUUUCCACCCAACCCUUUUAAUUUCUCCGCAAUGUCUGGUUUGCUCAAUUUUUUUUGGAUCUUAGUGGUGCAUUGUUUUAAAGCAAUAGUGAGACAACAAUAUAAACCAUGCAUUUCAAGUCCAUAUUACUAAUGCUAAAAUCCAGAAUGCAUAAGAUCCAAGUAUCAAGGAACUAGCUGAGCAGAUAGCAAAAGACCCAUCGUUCAAUCAAAUAAUGGUUGAGCAGCUUCAGAAAACUUUUCAUGGUGCAACAUAGGAUAGUAUCUCUAGCUUCGAUAAUCAGCAAUAUUAUUCUACCAUGCAGCAGCUGAUGCAGAAUCCUAACUUCAUGGCCAUGGCUGAGCGCCUGGGUAAUGCAUUGAUGCAGGAUCCAUCUAUGUCUUCCAUGCUUAAAAGUCUUACUAGUCCUUCAAAUAAAGAUCAGCUUGAGGAGAGAAUGGCACGCAUAAAAGAAGAUCUAUCUUUGAAGCAUAUUUUAGAUGAGAUAGAGACUGGUGGUCCUACUGCUAUGAUGAGGUUUAGAUGGAAAAAUUUCUUAUCUUUUUGGCCAUUUCGAAAUUUCUAUU
This is a non-coding RNA of Arachis ipaensis, 1207 nucleotides long. NCBI's taxonomy places the organism in Eukaryota, Viridiplantae, Streptophyta, Magnoliopsida, Fabales, Fabaceae. The record is from RefSeq and is a predicted model, not a curated record.